ACGAGAAUAUUCGACAAUGCACGAAAGUGUGAUCGAGGGAUGCCGCGUGCAGGAAGAAGCUCCUUGGAGUGUAAACUGCUUUUGCGUGGGAAGAACUUUGACGGUACCACGAGAAUAAGGGGUUGCUAACUCUGUGCCAGCAGCAGCGGUAAUACAGAGACCCCUAGCGUUAUCCGGAAUUACUGGGCGUAAAGCGUGAGCAGCUGGUUGUAUUAGUCCGGUGUUAAAUCUUUGGGCUUAACUCAAAGACCGCAUUGGAAACGGUACAACUAGAACAGAUGAGAGGUAGGCGGAACGUGCAGUGUAGGGGUGAAAUCCAUUGAUAUUGCACGGAACACCAAAAGCGAAGGCAGCCUACUGGCGUCUUGUUGACAGUCAAUCACGAAAGCGUGGGGAUCAA
RNAcentral lists this ribosomal RNA (400 nucleotides) under uncultured bacterium. RNAcentral's name for it is "bacterial SSU rRNA". It matches the Rfam family "Bacterial small subunit ribosomal RNA", at positions 355 to 771 of the family's 1533-position model. The record is from RNAcentral.